This 2238-nucleotide long non-coding RNA is filed under the name Prunus dulcis (almond). Its description in RNAcentral is "sRNA ncRNA". Lineage: Eukaryota; Viridiplantae; Streptophyta; Magnoliopsida; Rosales; Rosaceae. The record is from RNAcentral.
UUCGACUGCUCGAGAUGUGAUCGGCGGCGAGCUUGUGAGGAAAUUUUUGGGCUUUCUCAGUCGUCACUUCUCUCGAAUUGGAGUUCAAACACUUUCUUCAACCCUUAUCCCAUUCGAACACAACCCCACCAAUCUUUCUUUGGUAAGUCUUCCAAUUCUCUGAUUUCCCACUUCGAUUAUAAGCAUCUUAUGGCAUAGAAAUGGCGAGAAAUUUCAAAAGAUUAGAUAGAAAGAAUUUGAUUCUUAAAUAUCAGGUUGGUAAAGCAUUGAAUUUUAGAUAUGGGCUGAACUUGCAAUUUGAAGCAGCUGAAAACCCCCAAAUUAUUAUUAUUUUUUUCAAUAGUAAAGAAACUAAUUCACCCAGCGUUAGAAAUGUAAGGAAAAAAGUAUGUUUCUUUGUGAUUAAGUUUUUGAUAUUUAGUAAAUACAUAAUCGUAUAUGUCAAUGUGGGUAUUAAAAUUUGUUUGAUUAUGAGAUUUUGCAUGGUUGAAUUGUAAAAUAUAUUUGGACUUGUGGGAAGUUAGUAAUUGAGUUUUUGAUCUGUCAAUAUAGUUUGGAGGGAGUUUCUGAGGUGAACCAUUCCUAAGGAAUUUGGGGAAGGAAUGAUGAAGACAUGUAUUCAGAGCCAUCUAUUCUUUGUGCAAGUCAGGUGUGAUCACAUAGAGUAAAGAUGUAACAUUCAUGGCUAAUGGUAAAGCUCAAUUUUUUGGCAUGUAAUCAUAUGAAUACCAUUUAACCCUUUCUUUUGGCAUUUACAUGAAUUACUUCGUAACACUGGGAAAAUAGGAUUGCAACACCUAAUAUCCAAAAUUGAUUCGAAUAGGAUUGCAACUUCUUAACAUUCAUUUUCCCACACUAGUUUAUUGUUUUGUUUUGUUUUGGCCCAACAUUGAAAUAUCAAACAUGCUCUCUUUUGGUCGUUGGUGAAUCAUAAGGCAGUUAGGCUUUUGGCCUCAAUAUGAUUUAGUUUCAUUAUUAUGUUGCUAUUUCCUUAAUAAUCUCUAGUUCUUAUUUCUAGUAGAAUGGUUUUGUCUCAAACUUUUCGUCUGCACUCUUGUAGGUUAUGUUCUAUGAAGGCUUGACAUAUUUGACAGAGUAUGGGAAGCAAAAAUACGUACACAAUCCAAAUUUCCAUGUUGAUAGUUCUGUUCCGGGACUAUACUAGGAGGAUUGGGUGGUGGUAUGUACCUUGCUUAUACUAUGUAAGUCUUUAAAAUCGAAUUCAGAAUUUUCUGUAGGGUGAUUUAUACUUGCUUUGUAUUCUUCAGGCUUUAUGACAUAUCUUGCAACUCCCUUGGAUGUGAUCAAAACAAGAUUGCAAAUACUGGGGUCAAAGGUAUCAGCUCUGUUUUGUGGUUAUUCUUAAUAUUAUUUUCAAAUGACUUUCAGUUGUCAGUGUAGACCUAAAUUUGUUGCAAGCAUCACAUGCAGCAUAAUGUUCUAUUAGUGUACUUAAUGUUACCUGAACAAAGCUUGGCUUAUUGAGUCAGCUGUUGUGCUCAUGAACACUGACCUCAUGGGUGCACAGACAGAAACUCCUUUACAAAUUUAUAGUAGUUUUUCAUUGAAUCCUUUCCCAACAUUUUCGUUAAUUGUCAUCGCCGCAUAACAAAGUUAAAUCUUGGGGACAAAAUCGAUGGGCUAUGGUUAGAAAUAUACUUUGGUAAAGUUUGCGUUAACUGUUAUUUGAAACUGAGGUUUCAACGUGUUUGCCAUGAUGGGGAAGGGAAAUUUUGUAGAGCAAUUUUCCUUUCGACCUGGAAUAUUUGAUAGGUGUGACAUUGAUGUCGAAAAUUUGUCUAUGGUUUAUCAUAAAAAAAAGUUGUCUAUGGUCGAAAAUUUAAACUUUGGUUCUAUCACUUAUUGAGUUUGACGUGAUAGUCAAUCAGUUUUUUUAUUUUCCAUCUAAUGUUGUGAACUUUAGGUGCAAUGGCUGCUUGGAUGCAGUUUGUAGCAUAUAAAUGGUUGAAGAUGCACAGGGGAUGUUUAGAGGUAGCAGUCUCAGGAUCACCCAAUGUUACAAGCAAUGAAGGAUUAGGCAAUGUUGCAAGCAAGAAGUUGCUAGCAUGUAGUAGAGGAAUAGGGAUCACAUUUACAAAGGAGCGGUGUGAGAAACUUGCACUGAAUACUUUUAUUUUCCCAUCUCAUCUUAGUUUGAUUAAGAAAUUGGGUCUUUUUCAUGUAUCCCAGUAAUAAUUUGGACGUACACAUUUAAUAUUGUUUUCAUGUAAGUUGUAC